GGGGGCGUAGCUCAGUCGGUAGAGCAGUGGACUUUUAAUCCAUUGGUCGGGGGUUCGAGUCCCUCCGCCCUCA
Molecule: transfer RNA, 73 nt
Filed under: Phycisphaerales bacterium
Lineage: Bacteria; Pseudomonadati; Planctomycetota; Phycisphaerae; Phycisphaerales
Description: tRNA-Lys
Rfam family: tRNA
About the family: Transfer RNA (tRNA) molecules are approximately 80 nucleotides in length.
Source: RNAcentral